This 484-nucleotide ribosomal RNA is filed under the name uncultured bacterium. Its description in RNAcentral is "partial 16S ribosomal RNA". It matches the Rfam family "Bacterial small subunit ribosomal RNA", at positions 30 to 507 of the family's 1533-position model. The record is from RNAcentral.
AUUGAACGCUGGCGGCAGGCCUAACACAUGCAAGUCGAGCGGAUGAAGGGAGCUUGCUCCUGGAUUCAGCGGCGGACGGGUGAGUAAUGCCUAGGAAUCUGCCUGGUAGUGGGGGAUAACGUCCGGAAACGGGCGCUAAUACCGCAUACGUCCUGAGGGAGAAAGUGGGGGAUCUUCGGACCUCAUGCUAUCAGAUGAGCCUAGGUCGGAUUAGCUAGUUGGUGGGGUAAAGGCCUACCAAGGCGACGAUCCGUAACUGGUCUGAGAGGAUGAUCAGUCACACUGGAACUGAGACACGGUCCAGACUCCUACGGGAGGCAGCAGUGGGGAAUAGUGGACAAUGGGCGAAAGCCUUAUCCAGCCAUGCCGCGUGUGUGAAGAAGGUCUUCGGAUUGUAAAGCACUUUAAGUUGGGAGAAAGGGCAGUAAGUUAAUACCUUGCUGUUUUGACGUUACCAACAGAAUAAGCACCGGCUAACUUCGUG